Molecule: long non-coding RNA, 3008 nt
Organism: Panthera uncia (snow leopard)
Lineage: Eukaryota; Metazoa; Chordata; Mammalia; Carnivora; Felidae
Exons: 2
Source: RefSeq, a predicted model, not a curated record
ACUUCCAGGAUGGGAAAGGGAACUGUGAUAUUGUGAUUUAUUUAUUUUUUUAAAUUUAUUCACUUUGAGAGAGAGAGGGAGGGAGAACAAGCAGGGGAGGGGCAGAGAGAGAAGGAGAGAGAAUCCCAACUGGGGGCUCUUAUCUCGCCAGCUGUGAGAUCAUGACCUGAAUGGAAAUCAAGAUUGGCCGCACAACCUAUUAGGCCACUCAGGUGUCCCUGUGAUACUAUGAUUUAUAACAACAAAUAAGUACUUGGUCUUCAUCCCAGUUUCUGGCACAGAGCUCCUAAAACCCUUGGAAUUUCCGAAGUGGUGAGAGCGGCAAAAAGUGUCUUUUGUUAUGUUAAUGAGGUGACUUUGGGACCCCCCCCCCCCAUGGGGACUGGUUGCCUGGAGAACAAACCACGUGAUUAGAGGGUUGGAAAUUUCAGGCUCACCCCCUGCAUUGAGGGGAGGGGAGAGGGGCUGGAGGUUGAACUGAUCUCACCAGUGGUGGGCGAUUUAAUCAUACGUGCCUGUGCAGUAAAGCUCCAUAAACACCCAAAAGCAUGGGGUUCCGAGAGCUUCCGGGUUGGUGAGCACGUGGAGACUUGGAGAGAGUGGCGCUCCUGGAGAGGGCCCGGAAGCCUCACGCGUAGUCCCUGUACCCUGCCAGAUGCAUAUCUUCCAUCUGGCUGUUUCUGAGUUACAGCCUUUAUAAUAAACCGGUAAUUUAGUAAGUAAAGUGUUUCUCUAGGUUCUGGGAGCCGCUCUAGCAAAUUAAUAAAACCCGUGGGAGGAGGUCACUGGAACUUACCAUCCAUAGCCAGCCAGUCGGAAGCACAGUAACCUGGAUUUGCGAUUGGCAUCUGAAGGGGUGAGGUGGGGUGGGACAGAGGGGUGGCAGUCUUGUAGGGCUGAGCCCUUAACCUGUGGCGUCUGAUGGUCUCUCCAGGUAGACAGCAUCAGAAUAGAGUUGAAUUGUCAGGACACCCAGCUGGUGCCGGAGAAACACUUGGGGGGUGGGGAAAACACCCGCGCAUUGGAACUGGGGUGUAGAAUUGGAGGAACACACUUCUCUGAGUUCCCCUCUUUUUCAUAGUUUUGACAUUGGAUCGUGGAAAUGUUUUACAUAUCCAAAAAAAGUAAAGUUAAACCAGAAAAGAGAAAAAAGCAAACCUGAACUGGAAUACGAAUAGAAAAAAAACAAACCUAAUUAUAUAUCAAAUCAGUAACAUUCCCGCACACACUGAAGAAUCCUUGAUUCCGGUACCCAUUAACGGAGCAUUCUCCAAGGAUAAAAAGAACAGCUCUCAAACCCUGACCUUUGCUAAGGCUUGUUGUAGGAGUGGUUUGAUGGCGUAUUUCUGAAAUAAUUGUGUGUGUGCUGCAGGAUACAUGUACUUUCUUGCAGUUUUAAAGAAGGGUGUUAUUUCCUUGAGCUCUCUGGGACUGCUUCUAGCAAAGCAAACAUUUUAAUAAGCAGACACUUAGCAACUGACCUGUCAGCACUUGGGAUCCAGACGGGUUGUGAAACCAGACUCCACCCCCAUCUCUGAGCGGUGAUGAGUCACUGAGUGGACAGCGCCCCCUGCAGGACACUGUUGGCCACGAACGCGCCUUCCUUCAGCAGCCCUUGGAUGUUAAUUACAAUUUUUCCAACACCAAAACUUGGUGGGGCCCUCUUCCUUCGCCUAGGUGUCACUGGAGGAGAUCGACUGCAUUCAUAGAGUCUGUCUUUCCCAUGAUUCAGUUAUGGACCAGUGGAAAGGGCGGAGUUUACGAAGUCGGACGGAACGAAGUUAAUACAACACAAACGGAGGUCUUAACCGUGGAGAUAAUGAAAAGAUCUCAGCUCGCAGGCAGGGAGGGGGGACUGAGCGACCCCCCUGGGAUGACUGACAGCCUCCAGCCACCUCCCACGGACUCCCCAUCUCCAUUUCCUUGUGCCUGAAGCCCACAGCGAUGCCCUUAAGCAGGUGGACAGCUGCGGCUCAGGGGCUGGCGUGGGGUAGGUGCACAGUUCACCGCCAGGUGGCCGAACGCUCUAGUUCAGAGCCUUACCUUGUUAGUUCAGCAGCAACUGUGCACCAACCUACUCAACACCCGCAAUGAAUGACAUUUGAAGCUCAGAACUGUGCCAGACUGAGGGGCGUGCAUGUGAAAUGCAUCUGCGUGGCUCUCUCCUUUAUUUACUGCUUACUACUUGCCAGUCACUGUGCUAAGCACUUGGCAAGUAUAAUGUGGAGAGUUUUGAAUUGUGUCACUGUGAUUUUUUUUUCCCCUCCUGUCAUCCCUUGGCUGUGACCUCCCUGCCAAAGCCAUCGUUUGCCUUGGUCUUGCUGUGGGAAUGUAAAGCUUUUACUCCAGUUCAGAUCUGAGAGCCAGCAGGUUUGGAAACAAGAAGGAUUUUGUGAACUUUUUUAGUUCCCAGGCCUGGCAGAUAAGCUCAGAUGUCUUCAAACUAAGGGUACACAAACUUCUGGGGUGCACAGUCUUUCCAGGUGCAGGGGCUGGGAAAACCAGAAAACAGGUUUUACUAAUUUAUUGACUGAUACACAGAAUCUGAAAAAGAAUCUUGUAAAAAAACAACUGAUUAAGUUUUAUUUUAUUUUUUAAAAUUUACUUAUUUUGAGAGCAAGAAAGUGAGCAGGGGAGGGGCAGAGAGAGAAGGAGAGAGAGAAUCCCAAGCAGGCUCUGCGCUGCCAGUGUGGGGCCUGAUGCGGGGCUUGAUCCCACCAACUGUGAGAUCAUGACCUGAGCUGAAAUUAAGGGUCGGAAGCUCAACUGACUGAGCCACCCAGGUGCCCCUCCUUUUUUUUUUUUCAAGUGAGGUAUAAUUUUUUUUAACUGAGGUAUAAUUGACAUAUAACAUUAUAUUAGUUUCAGGUGUACAACAUCAUGAUUUGGUAUUUGUAUAUAUUAUGAAAUGAUCAUCACAAUAAAUCUAAUUAACAGCCACUAGCAUACAUAGUUGCAAACAUAUUUUUCUUGUGAUGAAAACUUUUAAGAUCUACUGUCUUCACCUC